Molecule: transfer RNA, 72 nt
Filed under: Neurospora tetrasperma FGSC 2508
Lineage: Eukaryota; Fungi; Ascomycota; Sordariomycetes; Sordariales; Sordariaceae
Description: tRNA-Pro (AGG) (tRNA-Pro-AGG-2-1)
Rfam family: tRNA
About the family: Transfer RNA (tRNA) molecules are approximately 80 nucleotides in length.
Source: RNAcentral
GGGCCGCUGGUCUAGUGGUAUGAUUCUCGCUUAGGGUGCGAGAGGUCCCGGGUUCAAUCCCCGGGUGACCCC